AGUGAACGCUGGCGGUAGGCCUAACACAUGCAAGUCGAACGGCAGCACAGUAAGAGCUUGCUCUUACGGGUGGCGGGUGGCGGACGGGUGAGGAAUACAUCGGAAUCUACUUUUUCGUGGGGGAUAACGUAGGGAAACUUACACUAAUACCGCAUACGACCUACGGGUGAAAGCAGGGGAUCUUCGGACCUUGCGCGAUUGAAUGAGCCGAUGUCGGAUUAGCUAGUUGGCGGGGUAAAGGCCCACCAAGGCGACGAUCCGUAGCUGGUCUGAGAGGAUGAUCAGCCACACUGGAACUGAGACACGGUCCAGACUCCUACGGGAGGCAGCAGUGGGGAAUAUUGGACAAUGGGCGCAAGCCUGAUCCAGCCAUACCGCGUGGGUGAAGAAGGCCUUCGGGUUGUAAAGCCCUUUUGUUGGGAAAGAAAAGCAGCAGGUUAAUACCCCGCUGUUCUGACGGUACCCAAAGAAUAAGCACCGGCUAACUUCGUG
RNAcentral lists this ribosomal RNA (492 nucleotides) under uncultured bacterium. Its description in RNAcentral is "partial 16S ribosomal RNA". It matches the Rfam family "Bacterial small subunit ribosomal RNA", at positions 29 to 507 of the family's 1533-position model. The record is from RNAcentral.